RNAcentral lists this ribosomal RNA (330 nucleotides) under Triticum aestivum (bread wheat). RNAcentral's name for it is "partial small subunit ribosomal RNA". Lineage: Eukaryota; Viridiplantae; Streptophyta; Magnoliopsida; Poales; Poaceae. The record is from RNAcentral.
AUGAUGUGUUGGGUUUCCAUGUUUUACUGUCAUUUACAUGAGGUGGCAGUUUUGGCUACCUCCACCCGCCUUAGUCUGUUUAUUUUUAAGUGGGAAGUGAUGAAUCGAACAAGGAGGAAGGACGACGUGCUUGUUCUUUCCGGCGUGGGUUUACUAAACUUUGUACAUAUGAAUUUCACCUCAUAUUUUCUUCCUGGCUUGAUAAGAACUGAACAAUAUAAUUUGGUUUCUCAUGUCCAGUAUUCCAGAUUGAGUAAUGCUAGAGAUAUGCGACCCUUAGCCCAGUUUACGAAAUGCUUUAUUAGGUGUAUUUUUCUUUCAUGUACAUAG